This is a long non-coding RNA of Dermochelys coriacea (leatherback sea turtle), 2234 nucleotides long. RefSeq lists it as uncharacterized. The record is from RefSeq and is a predicted model, not a curated record. NCBI's taxonomy places the organism in Eukaryota, Metazoa, Chordata, Testudines, Dermochelyidae. The transcript has 4 exons.
CUUGGAGGACUUCUUUUCUGCUCCUCUCUGGAACAGUGUGCGAUAGGAACCUAAGGCCUUCAGCAGGGUCACAGACUGCCAGUGUAAAUUAAAACAACUUGAACUCAGCGUAUGGUAGAAGAAGCACAUAAAUGUGCACCAGGAGUGGAGCAGUGAAAGUGACUCCUUUAAGCCACUGUUAUAUUCCAUCCAUUAACCUGCACUUUCUCCAGUCUGGGAGUACUUGAGCAGUCCCACCAUGUCUACUCCUGUUUGCUCAAAAGGAUCAUCUGAAUGGAAAGGGCACUAAUGGAGCUUUGACACUACUUUGGAAGACACUAAUGUGAGUCAGGAGGCACAUAAGUUGGCUACUUCUCUGUAUAUUCCCAGCCAUAAAAGAAAAUAUUGUGUGAAUUUAAUGCUCCUGAAAAAUAAGGGUGUGAUGGCACUUGCCUGAGCCAGCCAUAAAGCAGACUGAAAUUGAACAAGCCCAUCAUUUUAAAGCUCUGCCAAGGCACCAUGAUUCUGACCUGCAGGACCCUGCUAUUGUCCUGGACCUCUUGAGUGAAAAUCUUCUAUUGUGCCAAAAUAGUAUGGUGAUUUUGUGAAGCACGGAGACCAGGCUGAGACAACUAAGCUCAUAUUCAUGCUUGUGGCCUCAUCAGAAUUUGAAUCUUGGUCUCCAGAGAUCCUCUAGCUUCCUUAAAUUUCAUUUUUGUGAAUAAUGAAGAUAGUUUUGAGUUUUACAAGCAGAGAAAUGUCUUAAACCAAUAAACAUUUUAUAUCUGUGUCAAAAGAUGCUUAAAAACAGCCAACCCAUGUUUUUUUUAAAAAGUAGGGGGGAAAAAUACCUAUUCUAUGCCAAGUUCCUGAAGUCUGAGCAAAUUUUUACAGAUGAGUUAUAAACCCCAGACUAAUGGAGAUUUAAUGGAAGCGCUGACACAACCAAAACUAGAACAGCACAAAUGUACUGCUACAAUAACCUGAACUCUUCAAACCUUACUCAGUGCAGUUUCCUGUAAAAUGACUCAUUCUUCUUACUACCAUCCCCCAUUCCUUCUUUUAGAGCACAGGAAUAAUAAAUUCCAUAAUGAUGUACUUGUGGGAAUUAAAAAUAGGAGAUUUGAAAAUAUACUUGCUCUUCCUUCUCCUAAAUGCUUUCACAGAAUGAAUUUGGCAGGACAUCUUGGCAGAAUGGCAGAUUGUUGGGACUGUACUCUCUGGGAAACAAACAAACAAACAAACAAACAAACAAACAAAAAAGGCUAUCGGUGCAAAAUUCAGGCUUGCUUUGAUCUGGUUCUGAGGCUGGAGAGGUGGCUUGAUUCCACACAGCUGAGCCACAGGAUCAUUUGUCUCUACUUUCAACAAAUAAUGUGUUGUUUUUAUCAUGAAACUUAGAAGAAGAUACUUGUACUAUAAUCAACCAACUGCUAUUUUUAUCUUCAUUAAAGAGACCUCAGUCACUUAUUUAUUCAUUGACAUUUUGCAAAGAAAAAAUUUGGACCUGAUACAUGUAUCAUUUUUGAGUCAUAGUUUCUGAACGUUAUCUCAGCCUUGGAAGAUGAAUCAGUGGGGAUAUAUAUUGAUGGAAACCCUACUAUGUGUCUGGGGAUUACCAUAUUUUGCAGGAUGUGGUCAGUGUGAAAAGGCUAAUUUUAAUCAACAAAUUAGAGCCAGUGAAAACCUCCAUAGGUGAGGGGAAAUCUGUGAGUAUGAUCAAAAACAUGCUUCUGAUUCACGACUAAAUAACGGACUACAGGGAGGUACAUCUGUAAAUUAUACAGGAAGCUUUCUUCAGCAACUGAUUCACCCUGACAGUUUUACUGGAGUAUAUGAAAAUUAGUAUUAAAGAUGUGAUAUGUAGGCUUCUUUCCAGGAAUUCCAAUCUGGUUUCAAUAAAAUGGAAACACUGAUUGGAAGUGAAGUUGCCUUCCGGUUUUGCCUUUGGCUAUUAUGUGUUCAUUCGCAAAAUGACUGAAUUCCACAACUACUUUUAAUAUUCACCUUUUGAGUUCAUCUCCCACACUGGACACAUUGGAAUGAUUAAAAUAGCACUGCCUCCUGAUGCCGGAUUCUCUUUAAUUUGAAACAGCCUAGGUGCUGAGAAAAAAAUGAAUGCUCUUGUUAAGUCCAUCCUUUCUUUGCAUCAAGUUGCUUCAAUGCACAUCUAGAAUAGAAUAUUAAUACAGCAGUAUGAAAAAAAUAUAGUGCUUCCUGAGUAGCUGCCAGGAAAAAUAAAGAUGAAAAUUUGG